UUACUGGGCGUAAAGAGCUCGUAGGUGGUUUGUCGCGUUGUUCGUGAAAUCUCACGGCUUAACUGUGAGCGUGCGGGCGAUACGGGCAGACUUGAGUACUGCAGGGGAGACUGGAAUUCCUGGUGUAGCGGUGGAAUGCGCAGAUAUCAGGAGGAACACCGGUGGCGAAGGCGGGUCUCUGGGCAGUAACUGACGCUGAGGAGCGAAAGCGUGGGGAGCGAACAGGAUUAGAUACCCUGGUAGUCCACGCCGUAAACGGUGGGUACUAGGUGUGGGUUUCCUUCCUUGGGAUCCGUGCCGUAGCUAACGCAUUAAGUACCCCGCCUGGGGAGUACGGCCGCAAGGCUAAAACUCAAAGAAAUUGACGGGGGCCCGCACAAGCGGCGGAGCAUGUGGAUUAAUUCGAUGCAACGCGAAGAACCUUACCUGGGUUUGACAUGCACAGGACGCCGGCAGAGAUGUCGGUUCCCUUGUGGCCUGUGUGCAGGUGGUGCAUGGCUGUCGUCAGCUCGUGUCGUGAGAUGUUGGGUUAAGUCCCGCAACGAGCGCAACCCUUGUCUCAUGUUGCCAGCGGGUAAUGCCGGGGACUCGUGAGAGACUGCCGGGGUCAACUCGGAGGAAGGUGGGGAUGACGUCAAGUCAUCAUGCCCCUUAUGUCCAGGGCUUCACACAUGCUACAAUGGCCGGUACAAAGGGCUGCGAUGCCGCGAGGUUAAGCGAAUCCUUUUAAAGCCGGUCUCAGUUCGGAUCGGGGUCUGCAACUCGACCCCGUGAAGUCGGAGUCGCUAGUAAUCGCAGAUCA
This 802-nucleotide ribosomal RNA is filed under the name uncultured bacterium. RNAcentral's name for it is "bacterial SSU rRNA". It matches the Rfam family "Bacterial small subunit ribosomal RNA", at positions 551 to 1351 of the family's 1533-position model. The record is from RNAcentral.